This 253-nucleotide ribosomal RNA is filed under the name uncultured bacterium. RNAcentral's name for it is "partial 16S ribosomal RNA". It matches the Rfam family "Bacterial small subunit ribosomal RNA", at positions 524 to 776 of the family's 1533-position model. The record is from RNAcentral.
UACGUAGGGUGCAAGCGUUAAUCGGAAUUACUGGGCGUAAAGCGUGCGCAGGCGGUUUGUUAAGUCUGCUGUGAAAUCCCCGAGCUCAACUUGGGAAUUGCAGUGGAUACUGGCAAGCUGGAGUACGGUAGAGGAAGGUGGAAUUCCCGGUGUAGCAGUGAAAUGCGUAGAGAUCAGGAGGAACACCGGUGGCGAAAGCGCUCAUCUGGCCCGAUACUGACGCUGAGGCGCGAAAGCUAGGGGAGCAAACGGG